Molecule: long non-coding RNA, 677 nt
Organism: Empidonax traillii (willow flycatcher)
Lineage: Eukaryota; Metazoa; Chordata; Aves; Passeriformes; Tyrannidae
Exons: 2
Source: RefSeq, a predicted model, not a curated record
ACCUGAAACUAAAGCCUGAGAGCAGUCGGGUUGGGAGCAGAGACAGGCCAGCAGGGCUCCAGCUGGUGGGGACCAUGUUUUGUAGCUCCUGCUCCCCAGCGGGCAGCCUGGGUUAUAUUUGAUUGAGCCAUCUUUAUAGUGCAGAGGCUGUCCCUCCCCACAUCAUCACUCUGACAUCAACAGCUUGCCAAAGGAGCUGGAAUGACUGUCAGAAGACACAGUGGUGACUCCACGGAGAACCUGUGGCUUCCCAACUGCUGCUGUGCCCACCAGCCCACGCUGCUUCUCUCAUCACCCCCUCAGCUGUUCCCACUCCGCAGGGACAGGCAGCCCAAGGGUAAAAGGCUGAGCUGGAAAAAGCAGAAGUGACAGCCCCCAGCCCCCACAGGGACCUGCCUGGUGUUAUUUGUUCGGAGAGGGGAAUGACAUGAUGCAUGUUUAAUUUGGGUUUAGCUCGGUCACGUGGAUGGUUUUCUCGUUACAGCAGGAACUGGGGUGCUAAAUGCCACUUUUAAGUAACAUAAUGAAUAGGAAAGUAAAAAACACUGGGUUUUAUUGCUGUUGGUGAUGAGAUUUUGUUCAUGAGAUCUUGUGGUGAUUCCUGGCUGUGGAAACUAUUCAGAUUAAAUGAUGUAAUCCAGUACAGAUGACUAAAGGCAAUUUCUGCCAUUUUCCAG